Molecule: ribosomal RNA, 540 nt
Filed under: uncultured Desulfotalea sp.
Lineage: Bacteria; Pseudomonadati; Thermodesulfobacteriota; Desulfobulbia; Desulfobulbales; Desulfocapsaceae
Description: bacterial SSU rRNA
Rfam family: Bacterial small subunit ribosomal RNA
Source: RNAcentral
AGAGUUUGAUCCUGGCUCAGAGUGAACGCUGGCGGCGUGCUUAACACAUGCAAGUCGAACGAGAAAGGGACUUCGGUCCUGAGUAGAGUGGCGCACGGGUGAGUAACGCGUAGGUAAUCUACCUCUGCAUCUGGGAUAACACCCCGAAAGGGAUGCUAAUACCGGAUACACUUAUGGGUCGCAAGACCUAUAAGGAAAGGAGACCUCUCCUUGGAAGUUUCUGUGUAGAGAUGAGCCUGCGUCCCAUUAGCUAGUUGGUAGGGUAAUGGCCUACCAAGGCGACGAUGGGUAGCGGGUCUGAGAGGAUGAUCCGCCACACUGGAACUGAAACACGGACCAGACUCCUACGGGAGGCAGCAGUGAGGAAUAUUGGACAAUGGGCGCAAGCCUGAUCCAGCGACGCCGCGUGAGUGAUGAAGGCCUUUGGGUCGUAAAGCUCUGUCAGCAGGGAAGAACGGCCGUGUGGUUAAUACCCAUGCGGAUUGACGGUACCUGCAGAGGAAGCACCGGCUAACUCCGUGCCAGCAGCCGCGGUAAUAC